ACUUCCCUUUCUUUUUCUUUCUUCUUUUUCUCUCUCUCUCUCUUUCUAUUACUUUCUUAACUCCACCCUUCAUCUCUAUUUUAUUUUCUUCUCUUUCAUUGGCCUAAUUUUUUUGUUUUUCAACCACUUUUAUAUAUCUCACAUUUUCAUUUUCACGCUCGAUCAAAAUUUCAGAUAAACUUUUAUAUUAUACUUUAUAGUAAUGUAAUAAAAUAAAAUAAAAAUGUUUGCUAUAAAGCGAAGUAUAAAGUACAAAUGCAUAGAAAGAAAAUGAAAGAUAAAAAAUAAAAUUGCCUCUAGUUCAUUAACAGCCUACAAGGUCGACGAGUUACGUGUUGAACAUCCAAGGGCAGAAUGGAGGAAGAAAAGCUUUCCGAUAGGUCUGUCUGUAAUGGUGUGGUGGCAUAACGACGAUUAGAAGAAUGCUAGCGAGAUAAAGUCGAAUAAGAUAUUCUUUACUUUUUUUUUUCUUUUUGUUCUUUUUAAUUAACUAUCAACAAAGAGUAGGAUGUAUCUAUCAUGUGUAUAAUAUUGAACACACAUAUAAUUCAACAAUUCUAUUAUCUAUGUGCUUAUAUGUGUGUGUGUAAUAUUAUUCUAUCUAUUUUUAAAUUGGUCAUUCUCUCAGAGACACGUUUAUAUUAACUAAUAAUUUGUUUAUUAAAUUAAUAUUAAAAACGUAGUUAUAUUUUUAAUGAUACAAAAUAUCUGUAAAAAUAUUAUUAAAUGUAGAAGAUUUUGUAAAAAAGGCGUGGAAAAAAUCGGUUGGGACAAGAAACCUAUGC
Molecule: long non-coding RNA, 785 nt
Filed under: Polistes fuscatus (common paper wasp)
Lineage: Eukaryota; Metazoa; Arthropoda; Insecta; Hymenoptera; Vespidae
Description: uncharacterized LOC122514357
Source: RNAcentral